AUUGAACGCUGGCGGCAGGCUUAACACAUGCAAGUCGAGCGGAGAUGAGGUGCUUGCACCUUAUCUUAGCGGCGGACGGGUGAGCAAUGCUUAGGAAUCUGCCUAUUAGUGGGGGACAACAUUCCGAAAGGAAUGCUAAUACCGCAUACGUCCUACGGGAGAAAGCAGGGGAUCUUCGGACCUUGCGCUAAUAGAUGAGCCUAAGUCGGAUUAGCUAGUUGGUGGGGUAAAGGCCUACCAAGGCGACGAUCUGUAGCGGGUCUGAGAGGAUGAUCCGCCAGACUGGGACCGAGACACGGCCCAGACUCCUACGGGAGGCAGCAGUGGGGAAUAUUGGACAGUGGGGGGAACCCUGAUCCAGCCAUGCCGCGUGUGUGAAGAAGGCCUUAUGGUUGUAAAGCACUUUAAGCGAGGAGGAGGCUACUGAGACUAAUACUCUUGGAUAGUGGACGUUACUCGCAGAAUAAGCACCGGCUAACUCUGUGCCAGCAGCCGCCGUAA
RNAcentral lists this ribosomal RNA (501 nucleotides) under uncultured bacterium. RNAcentral describes it as "partial 16S ribosomal RNA". It matches the Rfam family "Bacterial small subunit ribosomal RNA", at positions 30 to 523 of the family's 1533-position model. The record is from RNAcentral.